GACGAACGCUGGCGGCGUGCCUAAUACAUGCAAGUCGAGCGAACAGAUGAGGAGCUUGCUCUUCUGACGUUAGCGGCGGACGGGUGAGUAACACGUGGAUAACCUACCUAUAAGACUGGGAUAACUACGGGAAACCGGAGCUAAUACCGGAUAAUAUAUUGAACCGCAUGGUUUAUUAGUGAAAGACGGUAUUGCUGCAACUUAUAGAGGGCUUGGCGCGUCUUUGGCUGGUUGGUAAGGAAACGGCUUACCAAGGGAAGGAUGCGUAGCCGACCUGAGGGGGUGAUGGGCAACACGGGAACUGGGACACGGUCAGGACUCCUACGGGGGGCAGCAGUAGGGAAUCUUCGGCAAUGGGGGAAAGCCUAACGGAGCAACGCCGCGUGGGUGAUAAAGGUCUUGGGAUCGUAAAACCCGGUUUUUGGGGAGAAACAGAUGUGUAGUUGAAUGUGCACGUCUUGACGGUACCUGAUCAGAAAGCCACGGCUAACUACGUG
Molecule: ribosomal RNA, 497 nt
Filed under: uncultured bacterium
Lineage: Bacteria
Description: partial 16S ribosomal RNA
Rfam family: Bacterial small subunit ribosomal RNA
Source: RNAcentral